GACGAACGCUGGCGGCGUGCCUAAUACACGCAAGUUGAGCGAUGAAGAUUGGUGCUUGCACCAAUCUGAAGAGCAGCGAACGGGUGAGUAACGCGUGUGGAAUCUGCCUUUGAUCGGGGUACAACUUGUGGAAUGGAAUGCUAAUACGGCAUAACAACUUUAAACAUAAUGUUUAAGUUUGAAAUAUGCAAUUGCAUCACUCCAAGACCAUUCCGCGUUGUAUUAGCUAGUUGGUGAGGUAAAGGCUCACCAAGGCGAUGAUACAUAGCCGAGCGGAGAGGGGGAUCGGCCACAUUGAGAGUGAGACACGGCACAAAGUCCUACGGGAGGCAGCAGUAGGGAAGCUUCGGCGAAGGACGAAAGACUGAACGAGGAACGCCGCGCGAAUGCAGAAGGGUUUCGGAUCGGAAAACGCGGUUGGUAGAGAAGACCGUUGGUGAGAGGGGCAAGCUCAUCAAGUGACGGUAACUACACAGAAAGGGACGGCUAACUACGUG
This 497-nucleotide ribosomal RNA is filed under the name uncultured bacterium. RNAcentral's name for it is "partial 16S ribosomal RNA". It matches the Rfam family "Bacterial small subunit ribosomal RNA", at positions 28 to 507 of the family's 1533-position model. The record is from RNAcentral.